This is a small nuclear RNA of Macleaya cordata, 118 nucleotides long. It matches the Rfam family "U5 spliceosomal RNA". Rfam says of the family: U5 RNA is a component of both types of known spliceosome. NCBI's taxonomy places the organism in Eukaryota, Viridiplantae, Streptophyta, Magnoliopsida, Ranunculales, Papaveraceae. The record is from Rfam.
AGCCGUGCGGUGAGCACAUAGCGAACUAUUCUUUCGCCUUUUACUAAAGAAUACCGUGUGCUCGCGGCUAUUAGCGGCAUACGCCUAUUUUUGGAGGGUUUUCCCAUAUAGUGGAAAA